Molecule: ribosomal RNA, 263 nt
Filed under: Escherichia coli
Lineage: Bacteria; Pseudomonadati; Pseudomonadota; Gammaproteobacteria; Enterobacterales; Enterobacteriaceae
Description: partial 23S ribosomal RNA
Rfam family: Bacterial large subunit ribosomal RNA
Source: RNAcentral
UACUAUAGCUUGACACUGAACAUUGAGCCUUGAUGUGUAGGAUAGGUGGGAGGCUUUGAAGUGUGGACGCCAGUCUGCAUGGAGCCGACCUUGAAAUACCACCCUUUAAUGUUUGAUGUUCUAACGUUGACCCGUGAUCCGGGUUGCGGACAGUGUCUGGUGGGUAGUUUGACUGGGGCGGUCUCCUCCUAAAGAGUAACGGAGGAGCACGAAGGUUGGCUAAUCCUGGUCGGACAUCAGGAGGUUAGUGCAAUGGCAUAAGC